Molecule: transfer RNA, 72 nt
Filed under: Ovis aries (sheep)
Lineage: Eukaryota; Metazoa; Chordata; Mammalia; Artiodactyla; Bovidae
Rfam family: tRNA
About the family: Transfer RNA (tRNA) molecules are approximately 80 nucleotides in length. Their secondary structure includes four short double-helical elements and three loops (D, anti-codon, and T loops).
Source: Rfam by way of RNAcentral
UCCCUGGCGGUCUAGUGGUUAGGGCUCCGCACUUUCACUGAGGUGACCUGAGUUCAAUCCCUAGUUGGGGAA